This 274-nucleotide ribosomal RNA is filed under the name uncultured bacterium. RNAcentral's name for it is "partial 16S ribosomal RNA". It matches the Rfam family "Bacterial small subunit ribosomal RNA", at positions 523 to 796 of the family's 1533-position model. The record is from RNAcentral.
AUACGAAGGUCCCAAGCGUUAUUCGGAAUCACUGGGCGUAAAGAGUACGUAGGCGGUUUGGUAAGUCAGGUGUGAAAUCCCGAAGCUCAACUUCGGAACUGCAUCCGAUACUGCCAGACUAGAGUAAUGGAGAGGCAGGUGGAAUUCUCGGUGUAGCAGUGAAAUGCGUGGAUAUCGAGAGGAAGACCAAUGGCGAAGGCAGCCUGCUGGACAUUUACUGACGCUGAGGUACGAAGGCUAGGGGAGCGAAAGGGAUUAGAAACCCUUGUAGUCC